CAGGCUGCCCUUCAAAGUGUUCAGGAAAAGGCCGCUGUGUGAAUUCCAGCUGUGAGUGUUUGGAAGGCUGGUCAGGGUCCGACUGCAGCAAAGGAUCUUGCGGGAAGUGCUCUUUCGGAAAAUGCGUGUCUGGAUUCUGCGAGUGUGUGCUUGGAUGGGAAGGCGCAGCCUGCGAUCAAAAGGCGACGUGCAACAAUGUGAACAACUGCACCAGCCCAGCUAACGGAGCGUGUAGGACGACAGACGCCUGUCAAUGUAAUCCUGGUUUCA
Molecule: long non-coding RNA, 270 nt
Organism: Branchiostoma floridae (Florida lancelet)
Lineage: Eukaryota; Metazoa; Chordata; Leptocardii; Amphioxiformes; Branchiostomatidae
Exons: 3
Source: RefSeq, a predicted model, not a curated record